AAAGUGGUACGCGAGCUGGGUUUAGAACGUCGUGAGACAGUUCGGUCCCUAUCUGCCGUGGGCGUUGGAAGAUUGAGAGGGGUUGCUCCUAGUACGAGAGGACCGGAGUGAACGCACCGCUGGUGUACGGGUUGUGAUGCCAAUUGCAUUGCCCGGUAGCUAAGUGCGGAAGAGAUAACCGCUGAAAGCAUCUAAGCGGGAAACUUGCCUCGAGAUGAGUCUUCCCUGGGACUUUGAGUCCCCUGAAGGGCCGUUGAAGACGACGACGUAGAUAGGCUGGGUGUGUAAGCGUAGCGAUACGUUGAGCUGACCAGUACUAAUGACCCGAGAGGCUUAACCUUACAACACCGAAGGUGUUU
Molecule: ribosomal RNA, 359 nt
Filed under: Brenneria alni
Lineage: Bacteria; Pseudomonadati; Pseudomonadota; Gammaproteobacteria; Enterobacterales; Pectobacteriaceae
Description: partial 23S ribosomal RNA
Rfam family: Bacterial large subunit ribosomal RNA
Source: RNAcentral